AAUGGGCGAAAGCCUGAUCCAGCAAUGCCGCGUGAGUGAAGAAGGCCUUAGGGUUGUAAAGCUCUUUCGCCUGCGACGAUGAUGACGGUAGCAGGAGAAGAAGCCCCGGCUAAUUCCGUGCCAGCAGCCGCGGUAAUACGGAAGGGGCUAGCGUUGUUCGGAAUUACUGGGCGUAAAGCGCGCGUAGGCGGCUGGACAAGUGAGGCGUGAAAGUCCUGGGCUCAACCCGGGGACGGCGCUUCAGACUGUUCGGCUAGAGUCCGGAAGAGGGUGGUGGAAUUCCGAGUGUAGAGGUGAAAUUCGUAGAUAUUCGGAGGAACACCGGUGGCGAAGGCGGCCACCUGGUCCGGUACUGACGCUCAAGUGCGAAAGCGUGGGGAGCAAA
Molecule: ribosomal RNA, 385 nt
Filed under: uncultured bacterium
Lineage: Bacteria
Description: bacterial SSU rRNA
Rfam family: Bacterial small subunit ribosomal RNA
Source: RNAcentral